GAGAGUAUAACAACUCCCAACCCAUGUGAACAUACCUAUCGUUGCCUCGGCGGAUGAGGGGCUGCCCGCUAAUGCCUACCCGGGGCUUGCUACCUGGCGCGGCAGGGUGCCUCCCGCCGCCGCGGGCCCGCGAAACUCUGUUUUAUUUUGCAACUCUGAAUCUUAAAACAAAUAAGUUA
Molecule: unclassified non-coding RNA, 179 nt
Filed under: uncultured fungus
Lineage: Eukaryota; Fungi
Description: sequence contains ITS1, 5.8S rRNA gene
Source: RNAcentral